AACUCUUUCUCCAGCAGCGCUGAGGAGUGCGACAUUCAGGAAAUGGCAAUGCGGCAGUAAGGAAGGAAUCUGUGCCCUUUAAUGACCUAGAGGAGUAGAUCCACUUCGCCACCUGGACCGGCCAGACUAAUGUGGCCCGGACUCUCAGCUGGACUGACAGGCAAAAUAUCUGUGUCCGUGUACGUUAUUCAUCUGUCACUGGGUCAAGGUCUCCGGGACAGACCCCCUACAGCUGGCGCUCCGUGUGAGGAAUGCUGCGAAGGAUCACGACGGACCCCCCAAAAUGAAGGAUACAAAGCUGGAAUAAGAGGAAUGACCACUUCGUCUGACAGACCUGUUGCUGCACACAUCUGUACCCUUCGGUCAACAGAACCCGAUGCAAAGAACAGAAAAGGGAGAGAUGUGGGAGUUCAGACAGGCUGGUGGCGUGUCCAGAAUUUAUUCCUUCCGGUGGGUUCUUGGUCUCGCUGACUUCAAGAAUGAAGCCGCAAACCUUUGCUGCCUAUAUCACCCAAACCUGAAAAGGGAAAGAAGGAUGUGAAGAAAAUAAUAUAGGAGGAAGAAGAAUGAAGAAACAGCGGGCAAGAAAAAGAAGAAGACUAGAAAGAGAAGAUGAAGCAGGAUAAAGUGGAGGAGAAAUAGCUUUACUGAAUGGUAGGUCAUAUACAAAUUAUACUGGGGAAAAGUGAAAUUUGGCCCCUAAAUUCCACAUCUACCUACACGGUGAACAUUGAGGGUAUGCCUAGGUCCUAAGAGGAAUUUGUCUUCAAUAAUCUUCAUGAAUCAUUUAAGAGUUUUAAUGGUAACUAACGAGAAAAAUUUCAGUAAGCUAUAUUAAAACUGUUAAAUGAUUUAUUUAACAGUUUUGGUCAAAAC
RNAcentral lists this long non-coding RNA (876 nucleotides) under Homo sapiens (human). RNAcentral describes it as "HSALNT0213677". The record is from RNAcentral. Lineage: Eukaryota; Metazoa; Chordata; Mammalia; Primates; Hominidae.